UGGGGAAUAUUGCACAAUGGGCGCAAGCCUGAUGCAGCCAUGCCGCGUGUGUGAAGAAGGCCUUCGGGUUGUAAAGCACUUUCAGCGAGGAGGAAGGUGGUGAGCUUAAUACGCUCAUCAAUUGACGUUACUCGCAGAAGAAGCACCGGCUAACUCCGUGCCAGCAGCCGCGGUAAUACGGAGGGUGCAAGCGUUAAUCGGAAUUACUGGGCGUAAAGCGCACGCAGGCGGUUUGUUAAGUCAGAUGUGAAAUCCCCGGGCUCAACCUGGGAACUGCAUUUGAAACUGGCAAGCUAGAGUCUCGUAGAGGGGGGUAGAAUUCCAGGUGUAGCGGUGAAAUGCGUAGAGAUCUGGAGGAAUACCGGUGGCGAAGGCGGCCCCCUGGACGAAGACUGACGCUCAGGUGCGAAAGCGUGGGGCAGCAAACAGGAUUAGAUACCCUGGUAGUCCACGCUGUAAACGAUGUCGAUUUUGGAGGUUGUGCCCUUGAGGCGUGGCUUCCGGAGCUAACGCGUUAAAUCGACCGCCUGGGGAGUACGGUCGCAAGAUUAAAACUUAAAGGAAUUGAC
This 569-nucleotide ribosomal RNA is filed under the name uncultured bacterium. RNAcentral's name for it is "partial 16S ribosomal RNA". It matches the Rfam family "Bacterial small subunit ribosomal RNA", at positions 355 to 914 of the family's 1533-position model. The record is from RNAcentral.